AACACAUGCAAGUCGAGCGGUAGAGAGAAGCUUGCUUCUCUUGAGAGCGGCGGACGGGUGAGUAAUGCCUAGGAAUCUGCCUAGUGGUGGGGGAUAACGUUCGGAAACGGACGCUAAUACCGCAUACGUCCUACGGGAGAAAGCGGGGGACCUUCGGGCCUCGCGCCAUUAGAUGAGCCUAGGUCGGAUUAGCUAGUUGGUGAGGUAAUGGCUCACCAAGGCGACGAUCCGUAACUGGUCUGAGAGGAUGAUCAGUCACACUGGAACUGAGACACGGUCCAGACUCCUACGGGAGGCAGCAGUGGGGAAUAUUGGACAAUGGGCGAAAGCCUGAUCCAGCCAUGCCGCGUGUGUGAAGAAGGUCUUCGGAUUGUAAAGCACUUUAAGUUGGGAGGAAGGGUAGUAACUUAAUACGUUGCUACUUUGACGUUACCGACAGAAUAAGCACCGGCUAACUUCGUGCCAGCAGCCGCGGUAAUACGAAGGGUGCAAGCGUUAAUCGGAAUUACUGGGCGUAAAGCGCGCGUAGGUGGUUCAGUAAGUUGGAAGUGAAAUCCCCGGGCUCAACCUGGGAACUGCUUUCAAAACUGCUGAGCUAGAGUACGGUAGAGGG
Molecule: ribosomal RNA, 613 nt
Filed under: Pseudomonas sp. OA146
Lineage: Bacteria; Pseudomonadati; Pseudomonadota; Gammaproteobacteria; Pseudomonadales; Pseudomonadaceae
Description: bacterial SSU rRNA
Rfam family: Bacterial small subunit ribosomal RNA
Source: RNAcentral